This is a long non-coding RNA of Saccostrea cuccullata (small rock oyster), 554 nucleotides long. RefSeq lists it as uncharacterized. The record is from RefSeq and is a predicted model, not a curated record. NCBI's taxonomy places the organism in Eukaryota, Metazoa, Mollusca, Bivalvia, Ostreida, Ostreidae. The transcript is spliced from 3 exons.
AUAUUCUACUGAACUUAUAAAUUAAGGUUGUUUUAUCUUUAAGACCUCACCAAUUCCAUCCAGAACUGGGAUUUCUAGAGAUAGUAUUGAAGAGGAGGCUAGGAGACUGUCUCUAACGGCCAUACACAGUGCCUUCUCUGCGGCGGUAUCAGUGUCUGAGGGGGGAUGCAGGGCAAGUUUUAAGCCGAAGCGUAACAUCUUUAGAGGCCUGCUUUCCUGCUUUCGAGCUUGUUUUGGUCGUGCCAGGGAUUAAUUCAAAAUAACAGUAUUUUUUUUCUCAAGAACAACCUGGCCUUUGAGGUCAUUUUUUUUCUCAAGAAAACAAUUUGAUAAAUUAAAAAGAGAUCACGAUAGAGAUAUUAAAAAUAACAGUUAAUACAGCAAUUUUUUUUUCUCAAGAACAACUUGGCCUUUGGGGUUGUUUUUUUUUCUCAAGAAAACAAUUUGAUGAAUUGAAAAAAAAAAAUAUCAUCAUUGAUUGAUCCAGAGGAUAAGAUUUUUUAUAUUUUUUUUGAUAUAUCUUAUAUAGGGGUAGACGAAAUUUGCUCAGAGCA